UACAGAGGUCCCAAGCGUUGUUCGGAUUCACUGGGCGUAAAGGGUGCGUAGGUGGCGAGGUAAGUCGGAUGUGAAAUCUCCGAGCUCAACUCGGAAAUGGCAUUGGAAACUACCUUGCUUGAGGGUCGGAGGGGGGACUGGAAUACUUGGUGUAGCAGUGAAAUGCGUAGAUAUCAAGUGGAACACCAGUGGCGAAGGCGAGUCCCUGGACGACUCCUGACACUGAGGCACGAAAGCUAGGGGAGCGAACGGG
This 253-nucleotide ribosomal RNA is filed under the name uncultured bacterium. RNAcentral describes it as "partial 16S ribosomal RNA". It matches the Rfam family "Bacterial small subunit ribosomal RNA", at positions 524 to 776 of the family's 1533-position model. The record is from RNAcentral.